Molecule: ribosomal RNA, 234 nt
Filed under: Triticum aestivum (bread wheat)
Lineage: Eukaryota; Viridiplantae; Streptophyta; Magnoliopsida; Poales; Poaceae
Description: partial small subunit ribosomal RNA
Source: RNAcentral
AUGGCAUGUCCUGGUAAUCUGUUGGAUAUAAUGGACGUCAAUAUAAGAUGCAAUCAAGAGCCUCAAGUGACUUUAGAAUUGUUCGCUGCUCCAGUUUCAAGACUUGGUCUAGCUUGCUGCAGGGGCUCUGCAAGACAGCGCAUAAAGAUGGGCGCUGUGGUGAAAGAAUUGGGUGCCAUAAAACGGAUAAUCAUGGCCAACCAGAAUUAUGUGUCUUGGUCCACAGUGCAGUAA